UAGAUAGUAAAACAUUAUUUAUUCCUUUUAUAAAUCAUUUUGCUGGCUGAAGUAAGUUUUUACUUUAUAAAGUAAAUCCAAUUACUUACCUAAGGGGACAUCCCAGAUUGGAUUUUCCUCUUCUGAUGAAUCAAGGCUUUCAUCACGUGCACAAUCUUCUAAAUCCAUGUUUAUUUGCACGUUUGAGUUGUCUGGGGUUGUAGCAUGUUUGGUCCAAGCUCCAUCACGAAAAAACAUUUGUCACGUCUGUAAGUUACACAACAUCGUUUGAAAACUUUUGUUUCCAGCCAAUGUAACGUUAUGUGUGCAUGUAUUAAAGCGUUUUUCAUUCAAUGUUACAGGAAGCUGUAAGGCGCCUUCACAAUUCGGAAAACAACCCACAUAAAUAUGAUCCACAAACUGGAAUAAGUUUGCCUCGUAACCAAGCAGUCAUGACUUAUCUGCUAGAGGAAUUGAAAACAACUUUUGCAGAUGCAGACCCUGAGUGUAUACAAGCGUGUUGCAAGACAUACUUUGAAACACUUCGGAGAAAGUACAAUUUGUCUCAGCCAGAAAAGUCCCAGCUAAGAGAUGCCAUUAAAACAGGAGCUAAAAACCGACAAAGGAAAAGACGGGUAAGUGUAGAAAUUCAUCAACUUGUCUUUAAAGGGAUAGUUCACCCCAAAUUGAAAAUUCUGUUAUUUUCUUCUGAUAACCACAAAAGAAAAUAUUUUUAGGAAUGUUUGAAAUCAAACUGAUCAUGAGCUCCAAUCACUUCCAUAGUAUUUUUUUUCUACUUUAAAGUCAAUGGGGCUCAUGAUUGGUUGGAUUAUAAACAUUCCAUCUUUUGUGGUUAUCAGAACAAAGACAUUUACAGGUUUGUAACAACAUGAGACUGAGUACAUUGACAAUUUUCAUUUUUGAGUGAACUAUUCCUUUAAGUUUGAUACAUUUCUGGGUGUUUUUAGUGGUUAACACAUUGUGUGUUUUGCAGUUGCUGGAUUCCAGGUCCAAGGUUGUUCAAACCGAUGCAGAGAGAGAGCUUUGGCAGACUGCAACAGUGGAGCUGAUGUCUGACGAGGAGGAUGCCAUUGUUGAUGGAAGGCCAGUGUGGAUUGUGAGGUCUCCAUCUCACAGGAACCCACAAUUGUCAGAACUUUGUGAGGAGCUUCAGCGCAGAUUGGAGGCAGACAUGCGCUACACUAUUUUGCAUCAUCAGCGUGUUAAGGCUGAUGGAAAUGGACAUGAUGGACCUUCCUUUCUUCAACUUUAACUAAACUGCACUGGUUUUUGCAAUUUUUAAUA
Long non-coding RNA from Cyprinus carpio carpio, 1284 nucleotides. The record is from Ensembl. NCBI's taxonomy places the organism in Eukaryota, Metazoa, Chordata, Actinopteri, Cypriniformes, Cyprinidae.